GAUCAAAAUGAGGGGAUCUUUUAAGAACUAAGUCACCAAAAGUUUUAUCAAUAAUUUUCAAAUCUGCACUGGACUCGGUUUCUAAAAUUUCCUUACCUCGCUUACCUUCGGGAUCAUGUAGUGUGAUUUCAUCUUUGCUUAAGUUGAUCGUAUGAAAGCGUCUUUCAUUUGAGAGGUAUUGAAGUUGAAAGUUAUCUUUCGAUCUUUCAGGAACCUGAAAAGUAGCAACACAAGAAAAAUUCAUAUCUUGGUUAGUGGAAACAUUCAUCACUAGCCUUUCCUCGUCUUUUUCUUUUGUUUCUUUUUCUAACUCAUUUUCUCUUCUUUCUUCAACUUCUUUUUCAAUUUUCUUUUUUGUUUCACAUUCCUUUUCACUCUCAAUCUCUUUUUGCUCUUUUUCAUUCUCUUUUUC
This 412-nucleotide long non-coding RNA is filed under the name Gossypium barbadense (sea-island cotton). Its description in RNAcentral is "long non-coding RNA (GBAR_LNC018444)". The record is from RNAcentral. Lineage: Eukaryota; Viridiplantae; Streptophyta; Magnoliopsida; Malvales; Malvaceae.